Molecule: ribosomal RNA, 500 nt
Filed under: uncultured bacterium
Lineage: Bacteria
Description: partial 16S ribosomal RNA
Rfam family: Bacterial small subunit ribosomal RNA
Source: RNAcentral
AUUGAACGCUGGCGGCAUGCCUUACACAUGCAAGUCGAACGGCAGCACGGGGGCAACCCUGGUGGCGAGUGGCGAACGGGUGAGUAAUGCAUCGGAAUGUACCCAGUAGUGGGGGAUAACUAGUCGAAAGAUUAGCUAAUACCGCAUACGCACUACGGUGGAAAGCGGGGGAUCGCAAGACCUCGCGCUAUUGGAGCAGCCGAUGUCCGAUUAGGUAGUUGGUGGGGUAAAAGCCUACCAAGCCUGCGAUCGGUACCUGGUCUGAGAGGACGUCCAGGCACACUGGGACUGAGACACGGCCCAGACUCCUACGGGAGGCAGCAGUGGGGAAUUUUGGACAAUGGGGGAAACCCUGAUCCAGCAAUGCCGCGCGUGUGACGAAGGCCUUCGGGUUGUAAAGCACUUUUGGCGGGAACGAAACGGCGCUUUCUAAUACAGAGUGCUAAUGACGGUACCCGCAGAAUAAGCACCGGCUAACUACGUGCCAGCCGCCGCAGUAA